Oreochromis aureus is the source of this 497-nucleotide long non-coding RNA. RefSeq lists it as uncharacterized. The record is from RefSeq and is a predicted model, not a curated record. NCBI's taxonomy places the organism in Eukaryota, Metazoa, Chordata, Actinopteri, Cichliformes, Cichlidae. The transcript has 3 exons.
GGUAUUUGUGCUUCACACUGCGACUCCAGUCUUCCUUUAGCGACUUGCUGAUGACCUGCAUCUUCUCAAAGCGUCUGAUACGAUCGUGCAUUAGCCUGGACAGAAACGAAACCACGAGAAGAAGAAACUCGUUCAUGUAACGAUGCUGCUGGAUACUCCUGGGAGGCGUGAGUGGCCGAGCCGGGAAGAUGAACGAAUUCUACAGAAAACCCAGAAACUGACAUGAAGCGGAGCCAGCUCCUUCUCUGACAUUUGAAGGUUGAAUGCAGCCACCUGCUUCGCUCUUUCACGCCGUUCUUUCAGUUUCACCUACCAGAAAAAGCAAAACAAAAAAGCCUUAUCAGAAAGUCCAUAAUGAGAAGAAAAACAAACAAUAAAUAAUAAAAACAUUAUAAGUAAAACAUAUCAAACUCACCAAAUUAACUUUAGACAACUUUUUGGAUUCCUAAACAUAUCGUUAACAACAUUGUGAUAUGUUGUUGUGGGUGAUUUGUUAA